This is a long non-coding RNA of Harmonia axyridis, 798 nucleotides long. RefSeq lists it as uncharacterized. The transcript has 3 exons. NCBI's taxonomy places the organism in Eukaryota, Metazoa, Arthropoda, Insecta, Coleoptera, Coccinellidae. The record is from RefSeq and is a predicted model, not a curated record.
AUUCAAUAUUACAAAAUCAUCUAAUUUCUAUUAUUAUUCAGUGCCAAAAGAUGGAUCGAAUUCUCUGGACGCAAAGAUCUUGACCUGGGUGCUUCGAAAGACUCUAUAGUCUACUCAUGUGAAUGGACCUAAAUCAGAUGUUCUUCCUGAAUCAGAGUCUGAGAUGAUCAUCCAUGAAGAAACUGUUCAAACGGAUCAAAACGUACCUCUAUCUAAUAUUGAAAGAUUCUGCGUUUGCUGUCAACUCAAAUGAAAAUUUUUCAAAAGAGGACACAUGAAUGCAAAUCAUAUUUAUAUUACACUGGAAUCAGAAGGUUUUAUAGAAGCAACUAGCAGUUCGGCUACCCCCAAACGUAGUGGUAGUAAGCUGAGCCCCUUAACCAACCAGAGAAUUAAAAGAAUGAAGGCUGAAAUCAAUACAAAAAAUCAAAAACUCCGAAAUCUCUGCAAUGAAUAAUGAUUCACAUUUAAGAUAUUUUAUUACUUAUUUUUAUGUAUAUAUUCUUCUGUACAUUUUAUUAUGUUUAUUUAAUUGAAUUAAAAAUUCCACUAAUUUGACAAAGCAUUUUUAUUUAAAUAAUCUCUUAAUAUGUUAAUAUUAUAAUAUGGUAUAAAAAAUAGAAGCUACUAGUGAAUGUGGAAUACUGUGAAGAUUUGAAAUUCGCGCCAAAUAUAGAUUUCCUUUUCGUUAGAUGAUUUCAGCGCCAUCUGUUGUUUCAGUUGUAAACGGCCGAGCCUAAAAGUGGGUCGCUAUUUAGCACUAGAGUUAGUACGGCGUUUCCUAUCUUUCUCUCCCUA